UUGUUUUGUGCUAUAUCAUGACUGCUUGUGAAGUAUUAUUUUGCGUGUUUUAUUUAAAUCAGUGAUCUGCAGCCUAAUUAAAGUUUAAAUUAUUGAAGCACGCAUUUUUAAAUAAGUAACAAGGAAAAUAAAAGUUUUCUAAAGCCAAAAUAUGGAAUUGAGGGUGAUACAGUAAUACUUCAUUGCACUGUCAAUUCGAAGCACGCAAAAGAAGCUACGCCAACAAUGGUCAACAUCAAUGGCGAAACCAUUGAAUACGUACGCAAACUUAUUAGUGUCACUUAUGGUAGCAGCGUAGAACUUUCGAAGCGAUGGAAUAUGUGCUGCAAGCAAAUCCAGAACGAUGAAUGCAAACGCUGCUACAUGGAACACAAAUCAUUUACACACCAGAUAUUAGGUUUAAUGUAAUUUUUUUACGUGCAAUUAAACCUUUUGGUCAACACAUGCACGAGAAUUGGAACGACAUGGUUUAGGUGAUUUUGUAACCGUUUAUCAUCGCGACGUGUGUCAACUGGGUUUUGCCAAUGAGCUAGAGGGCAAAGCAAAUGCAGUAUUUUUGGACUUACCAGCACCUCAGUUUGUCAUACCAGCAGCUGAAACAUGGAAAUUAGAGAGUAAAUUUGAAUGAAUGUUUGUGCUCAUAGAAAUUUAAAAACUUCUUGUAUGUUUAAUUAAGAGGACUGUUUUGAUUAAUUUUCGCCUUGUAUUGAGGAAUCAUAACGUUGUUGUAUCGUUUUACAAGGACAUGGAUUCACCGAAAUUAGUUCAAUGGAAAAACUACAGCAAGAGCAUGGAUGUUAUGACUAGAACGUUGCCCGUGCUAUAUUUAGAAUUCCUGAAACAUAAGGUAAUUAUUAGCAACUUUUAUGUUGUAAAAAUUAAAAAUUUACUUUAUAUGUUAUAGAAACCCUCCUCCCAGAAAUUGGAUGAAUCUAGUACUAGUGAAAUUAAUGAAAAUAGCGGGUAUAGUUUCAGGGCUUUUGUGGGUCGCAGUACUGAAAGUGCUCGUGGAGUUUUCGUUCGCAGUUUUGGGUAUUUUAUCCGUAAUA
Molecule: long non-coding RNA, 1049 nt
Organism: Zeugodacus cucurbitae (melon fly)
Lineage: Eukaryota; Metazoa; Arthropoda; Insecta; Diptera; Tephritidae
Exons: 2
Source: RefSeq, a predicted model, not a curated record